CCUCCUUUCUUCCUCCUUUUUUUCUCUUUCCCCCUUUUGUGCCCCCUGCUGCCGCGACGCCGCGUGGGUGAAGGAGUGCUUCGGCAUGUAAAGCCCUAUCGGCAGGGAAGAAGCAAGACGGUACCUGACUAAGAAGCCCCGGCUAACUACGUGCCAGCAGCCGCGGUAAUACGUAGGGGGCGAGCGUUAUCCGGAUUCACGGGGUGUAAAGGGAGCGUAGACGGCCAUGCAAGCCAGGGGUGAAAGCCCGGGGCCCAACCCCGGGACUGCCCUUGGAACUGCAUGGCUGGAGGGCGGGAGGGGCAGGCGGAAUUCCUGGUGGAGCGGUGAAAUGCGUAGAUAUCAGGAGGAACACCGGCGGCGAAGGCGGCCUGGUGGACUGCGACUGACGUUGAGGCUCGAAAGCGUGGGGAGCGAACAGGAUUAGAUACCCUAGUAGUC
This 441-nucleotide ribosomal RNA is filed under the name uncultured bacterium. Its description in RNAcentral is "partial 16S ribosomal RNA". It matches the Rfam family "Bacterial small subunit ribosomal RNA", at positions 377 to 795 of the family's 1533-position model. The record is from RNAcentral.